This 485-nucleotide ribosomal RNA is filed under the name uncultured bacterium. RNAcentral describes it as "bacterial SSU rRNA". It matches the Rfam family "Bacterial small subunit ribosomal RNA", at positions 8 to 518 of the family's 1533-position model. The record is from RNAcentral.
AGAGUUUGAUCCUGGCUCAGGAUUAACGCUGGCGGCAUGCCUAAUACAUGCAAGUCGAAUGGGGAGCUUGCUUCCAUGGCGAACGGGUGAGUAAUACGUAGGUAACCUACCUUUAGGACGAGGAUAACCUUUGGAAACGAAGGAUAAUACUGGAUAGUAUAGAUUUCCGCAUGGAGAUAUAUUUAAAGAUUUAUCACCUAGAGAGGGGCCUGCGGUGCAUUAGCUAGUUGGCGGGAUAAAAGCCCACCAAGGCGAUGAUGCAUAGCCGGACUGAGAGGUUGUACGGCCACAAUGGAACUGAGAACGGUCCAUACUCCUACGGGAGGCAGCAGUAGGGAAUUUUCGGCAAUGGGCGGAAGCCUGACCGAGCAAAUGCCGCGUGAAUGAUGAAGUAUUUCGGUAUGUAAAGUUCUUUUAUCUAGGAAGAAAAACAAAUUGACGGUACUAGAUGAAUAAGCUCCGGCUAACUACGUGCCAGCCGCAGC